This is a non-coding RNA of Cricetulus griseus (Chinese hamster), 1886 nucleotides long. NCBI's taxonomy places the organism in Eukaryota, Metazoa, Chordata, Mammalia, Rodentia, Cricetidae. The record is from RefSeq and is a predicted model, not a curated record.
CAAAACUACACAGAAAAACUCUAUCUGGAAAAAACAAUCAAACAAACAAAACCCACACAUGAACAAAGAAUAAAUGCAUUAAUUCUUAAAUCCCCCAUUUUUCCCACCAGCAAGAGUAGGGCAGAAAGCACGGAAGGAGGAAAACCCUGCACUACCACAGUAGUUGUGGACACCAUUCUCAGGUAUUCAGGGCCUUCAGGCUGUCUGGCUGUCACAUCAGAGAACAAGGAAGUCAUCCUCUUCCAGGGUCACAGGACCUCUGACUGCAAAUCCACCCGAGGCACGCUUCUCAGCCACAUAGCCCCGCUGAUCCCAGCAAUGCCCAGUCCAAUGAACAGUGAUGUCAUAUUGUUUGGGUUGGGAUCAUUCCUGAACCAUGAAACAGUUAAGAAAUAUCCUGCCCCACUGGCUGCCAGGCUCAUAAAGGUGGACCCACGUGGACUUCCUUCUUGUUCCAAGACGCACCAGCUCAUGCAUUUGCCCACACCCAGAGGGAGAGACAGCACAGGACUGCCACCUCCCAUGCAAAUCACCCCCAGGAGCACAGCUGGGCUCCUCCUGCUGCUCCUGGGCAAUGCUCCUGGGCAGACCUUGUACAAGAUGCCAUCUCGGGCGCUGUGUAUUUUUCCUCAUUGUGGCUCUUUUGAGCGACGCUGUGGGCCUGGUCCUUUUGCUGCUGGGGAUCUUUGCCACACUAAACUACUGGGACUUCUUGGUCUACACAGGGGCUCUGGUCCUGGCCCUGAGCCUACUGUUCUGGCUUGCCUGGUAUUCCUUCAAUAUCGAGGUGCCUCUUGAGAAGCUGGACUUUUAGUGUGGCAUGGACAGGAGAGUGGCAGGUGGCAUAUGCAGCUGUGAACCUGGGGCCACCUGGACAUGAAGCCCCUCCCCAAGAAUGCCCCCACUGGGACCAGGUCUGUCUAACACAGAAGAAUCAAAUCAAGAUGCACUCUCUUUGCAGUACCUCCUUUGUAGCAUCCAAGAGAGACCCAGAUGCUACAAUGAUGAAGCUUUGACAUCACCCACAAGAAUAACCACAAAUGACUGUGACUACCACGUCUCUAUCUAUAACCCAACUACCCUGCACCAAACCACUAAGACUGCUGCCACCAUUCCAGGAGUUCGUGAGGGAUUGAGAUGCCAUGAAGUUCCACCAGUGGGGCUGUUAUAGGAACCACUCUGCUACAGGGUUCGAUCCCAAGGAAGCCUCUGACCAAAGUGUUUUCUAAGAACUGCCCAUUGGAAUCAAAUACAGACACCCAUCUGGGGUUUCCCAUGAAUACGCAUCAUACAGUACUGCUGCCAUGCCCCUCUGACACUCACUGGACUCUGAGCCCCUGGCUCCUCUUCAUCCCACCACUCAGGAUACACAGAAGCAGAUUCCAACAUGGAUACUGAAACAUGAAUGCACAGCUAAAGUGCAUGCAAGGGAACUCUCCAUACUGACAAAUAUGCUGGCACUGUUCACAUAGGCCCACCUAGGUGCGGAGCCAGCCAUGGGGCUGCUCACAUUGAGCUUCAGGUUGACUGAAACCUUCAGGCAUUUUUUAUUUGACAAGCACUCUAGGCCUCUGCUCUGCUGUCUGUGUGAUGUUCAAGACUUCAAGAAGACUGUAUUUCUAGCCUAAAAUACCUGUAGUCCAGUACAGCCUUACUCCAGUAUCUACUGAAGACCUCCAUCCCUGGGCUGAUUGGAAAGAUGUGCUGUUUUGUAACCCAGACUGACCUACUCCACUAAUUUAUAUUUCCUAUGGUCUGGUUUUGCACUUUGUAUUUAUACUAUGCCCUAAAUGAACAUGUUUCCUUUAAGCUGCCCCAUAUCUUUUAUGGUAUGGGGUGGUUGCCUAAAUAAAGAAAUGGAUAUGUUUUUAUGUGGCAUGAUGUAA